This 218-nucleotide long non-coding RNA is filed under the name Elaeis guineensis (African oil palm). RNAcentral's name for it is "long non-coding RNA (EGUI_LNC032865)". Lineage: Eukaryota; Viridiplantae; Streptophyta; Magnoliopsida; Arecales; Arecaceae. The record is from RNAcentral.
UGUAAGCUAGCCCAGCAUCAGCAUCCCAUGAUAAAUAAUGCUCGUCACUGUUAGCCAACCAGCACCCAGCUUAAUGGCCGGAGCACCUGGUGGAUAUGAUGUCAUCAUGAGCCAUCAUUCCCACAUUGAUGCCUGAUCGAGAUCGGACAGUCGUGAUGGAGAUGGUUGUCGAAGCGUGUUUGGUGGAUUUAUAGAUAAGAAACACAUGCAUGCAUGAC